AGUGAACGCUGGCGGUAGGCCUAACACAUGCAAGUCGAACGGCAGCACAGUAAGAGCUUGCUCUUACGGGUGGCGAGUGGCGGACGGGUGAGGAAUACAUCGGAAUCUACUUUUUCGUGGGGGAUAACGUAGGGAAACUUACGCUAAUACCGCAUACGACCUACGGGUGAAAGCAGGGGAUCUUCGGACCUUGCGCGAUUGAAUGAGCCGAUGUCGGAUUAGCUAGUUGGCGGGGUAAAGGCCCACCAAGGCGACGAUCCGUAGCUGGUCUGAGAGGAUGAUCAGCCACACUGGAAGUGAGACACGGUCCAGACUCCUACGGGAGGCAGCAGUGGGGAAUAUUGGACAAUGGGCGCAGGCCUGAUCCAGCCAUACCGCGUGGGUGAAGAAGGCCUUCGGGUUGUAAAGCCCUUUUGUUGGGAAAGAAAAGCAGCAGGUUAAUACCCCGCUGUUCUGACGGUACCCAAAGAAUAAGCACCGGCUAACUUCGUG
Molecule: ribosomal RNA, 492 nt
Filed under: uncultured bacterium
Lineage: Bacteria
Description: partial 16S ribosomal RNA
Rfam family: Bacterial small subunit ribosomal RNA
Source: RNAcentral